UGCCAGCCGCCGCGGUAAUACGGAGGGAGCGAGCGUUAAUCGGAAUUACUGGGCGUAAAGCGCGCGUAGGCGGCUUUGUAAGUCGGAUGUGAAAUCCCCGGGCUUAACCUGGGAACUGCAUUCGAUACUGCAUGGCUAGAGUAUGGUAGAGGGAAGUGGAAUUUCCGGUGUAGCGGUGAAAUGCGUAGAUAUCGGAAGGAACACCAGUGGCGAAGGCGACUUCCUGGACAAAUAUUGACGCUGAGGCUCGAAAGCGUGGGUAGCGAACAGGAUUAGAUA
This 279-nucleotide ribosomal RNA is filed under the name uncultured bacterium. RNAcentral's name for it is "partial 16S ribosomal RNA". It matches the Rfam family "Bacterial small subunit ribosomal RNA", at positions 506 to 784 of the family's 1533-position model. The record is from RNAcentral.